Molecule: ribosomal RNA, 156 nt
Filed under: Cuphophyllus colemannianus
Lineage: Eukaryota; Fungi; Basidiomycota; Agaricomycetes; Agaricales; Hygrophoraceae
Description: 5.8S ribosomal RNA
Rfam family: 5.8S ribosomal RNA
About the family: 5.8S ribosomal RNA (5.8S rRNA) is a component of the large subunit of the eukaryotic ribosome. It is transcribed by RNA polymerase I as part of the 45S precursor that also contains 18S and 28S rRNA.
Source: RNAcentral
CAACUUUCAACAACGGAUCUCUUGGCUCUCGCAUCGAUGAAGAACGCAGCGAAAUGCGAUAAGUAAUGUGAAUUGCAGAAUUCAGUGAAUCAUCGAAUCUUUGAACGCACCUUGCGCUCCUUGGUAUUUCCGAGGAGCAUGCCUGUUUGAGUGUCA